CCUACGGGAGGCUGCAGUGGGGAAUUUUCCGCAAUGGGCGAAAGCCUGACGGAGCAACGCCGCGUGAGGGAUGAAGGCCUCUGGGCUGUAAACCUCUUUUCUCAAGGAAGAAGAACUGACGGUACUUGAGGAAUAAGCCACGGCUAAUUCCGUGCCAGCAGCCGCGGUAAUACGGGAGUGGCAAGCGUUAUCCGGAAUUAUUGGGCGUAAAGCGUCCGCAGGCGGCCUUGAAAGUCUGUCGUCAAAGCGUGGAGCUUAACUCCAUUUCGGCGAUGGAAACUACAAGGCUUGAGUGUGGUAGGGGCAGAGGGAAUUCCCGGUGUAGCGGUGAAAUGCGUAGAUAUCGGGAAGAACACCAGUGGCGAAGGCGCUCUGCUGGGCCAUAACUGACGCUCAUGGACGAAAGCCAGGGGAGCGAAAGGGAUUAGAUACCCUGGUAGUC
RNAcentral lists this ribosomal RNA (442 nucleotides) under uncultured Cyanobium sp. RNAcentral's name for it is "bacterial SSU rRNA". It matches the Rfam family "Bacterial small subunit ribosomal RNA", at positions 338 to 795 of the family's 1533-position model. The record is from RNAcentral. Lineage: Bacteria; Bacillati; Cyanobacteriota; Cyanophyceae; Synechococcales; Prochlorococcaceae.